RNAcentral lists this unclassified non-coding RNA (266 nucleotides) under Hevea brasiliensis (rubber tree). The record is from RNAcentral. Lineage: Eukaryota; Viridiplantae; Streptophyta; Magnoliopsida; Malpighiales; Euphorbiaceae.
UUUUGAUAUUUGAGUAUUUGUAAAAUGGGAAGAAUAAUAAUAGUUUUUUUAUUAGUUUGUUUUGAGGGUUAAAUGAAUUAAUUUAUGUAAGUGUUUAGAUUGGGUUUUUUUGGUGGUUUAGAUGGUAAAGAAUUUGUUUGUAAUGUAGGAGAUUUGGGUUUGAUUUUUGGGUUGGGAAGAUUUUUUGGAGAAGGGAAAGGUUAUUUAUUUUAGUAUUUUGGUUUGGAGAAUUUUAUGGAUUGUAUAGUUUAUGGGGUUAUAAAGAG